CGCAUCCGCAUUUUAUCCCUUUUGUCCGCAUCCGCAUUUUAUCCCUUUUGUCCGCAUCCGCAUUUUAUCCCUUUUGUCCGUCCGUCCGUCCGUCCGCGUGUCCGUCCGUCCGUCCGCAUCCGCGUUUUAUCCCAACCCCAAUUACAACUGGGUCUCUGUAAAGAACGGAAACCGAAACGACCGAAUCCGGAAAUGACCGAAACCGGAAACGACCGAAACCGGAAAUUUCCGCCUAAUUUCCAGCAUAACGAAUAAUUAUAUUGUUGAUGCUCGAUGACUCGAUCGCAUGGCAUAUCAUUUUAGAUAAAUAUCGUCC
Paramuricea clavata is the source of this 316-nucleotide non-coding RNA. The record is from the annotation of a GenBank genome assembly. NCBI's taxonomy places the organism in Eukaryota, Metazoa, Cnidaria, Anthozoa, Malacalcyonacea, Plexauridae.